This 287-nucleotide long non-coding RNA is filed under the name Ananas comosus (pineapple). RNAcentral's name for it is "long non-coding RNA (ACOM_LNC041629)". Lineage: Eukaryota; Viridiplantae; Streptophyta; Magnoliopsida; Poales; Bromeliaceae. The record is from RNAcentral.
AAUUAAUUAAAUUUAGUUUUAUUCAUUUAUUUCUCUUUUUAUUUAAUUGUAUUAAAUAAAUUUUACUUGUAAGUAACAAUUAAAUUUUAAUUUUAUUUUUCAAAUUAUAAUUUCAAAUCACAAAUUCUAAAGUUCAAAAUUCUAGCUUUUAAAUUUUAUAACCAAAACACUGCAGCUUUUAAUCGAAAUAAAUUCUUUAAACCUAGCAGAAAUCACUUUUUUUCGGAAUCUAGACCAAACUGACACUAAGAGUCACGAAGCCAAUGAACAUUAUCUUAUUUAAAAAC